UCUCUCUCUCUCUCUCUGUGUAGGAGUUGUUAGACUAAUCAUAACCAUGUCUCUCUCGCUCUCUCUCUGUGUAGGAGUUGUUAGACUAAUCAUAACCAUGUCUCUCUCUCUAGUCUCUGUGUAGGAGUUGGUUAGACUAAUCAUACCGUGUCUCUCUCUCUCUCUCUCUCUCUCUCUCUGUGUAGGAGUUGUUAGACUAAUCAUAACCAUGUCUCUCUCUCUCUAGUCUCUGUGUAGGAGUUGUUAGACUAAUCAUAACCAUGUCUCUCUCUCCCUCUAGUCUCUGUGUAGGAGUUGUUAGACUAAUCUAACCGUGUCUCUCUCUCUCUCUCUCUUCUGUGUAGGAAGUGUUAGACUAAUCAUAACCAAUGUCUCUCUCUCUCUCAGUCUCUGUGUAGGAGUUGUUAGACUAAUCAAAACCGUCUCUCUCGCUCUAGUCUCUGUGUAGGAGUUGUUAGACUAAUCAUAACCAUGUCUCUCUCGGUGUAGGAGUUGUUAGAGGAGACAAGUCGUAAGCAUGUCCAGAAGACUGCGUGUCAGAGAAUAGGCCGUGUGCUGGUACAUGUUCUGGCCUGGUUCAUCUGUAUCGGCAGUACAGUGGCCUGUGUUCUAGCUCUCUACUACUUCUCUGAGUACAUGCACAAGGUAAUCCAGGAUAGUAGAUCUCGUAUUCCCACUAAGGACCCUCUCCUGAAGGAAGCCAGUCUGUUGGCCCUGCCAGUCGUAGUGUCUCUCAUCAACCUCCUGCUCCCUGGCAUCUUCAACGCUACUGCCUGGAUGGAGAGUACGACUCGCCCAGCGUAAACACAUACAUCGCCAUCAGCAGGGUAGGGGGUGGGCCUGCAGUCCACAAACUGUGUGUGUGUGUGUGUGUGUGUGUGUGUGGAGCACUAUGACUCCCCCAGCGUAAACACAUACAUCGCCAUCAGCAGGUAGGGGGGUGGACCUGCAGUCCACAAACGUGUGGUGUGUGGAG
Molecule: long non-coding RNA, 976 nt
Organism: Oncorhynchus kisutch (coho salmon)
Lineage: Eukaryota; Metazoa; Chordata; Actinopteri; Salmoniformes; Salmonidae
Source: Ensembl